CUCCCCGUUGCUGACCCCAGGUUCGAUAGCGCCAAUUAGGCGCCACCUCGCCAAGAACCAGCUUCGGUGAAGCGACGGGCGGUGUGUGCGAGGAG
This 95-nucleotide ribosomal RNA is filed under the name uncultured archaeon. Its description in RNAcentral is "partial 16S ribosomal RNA". The record is from RNAcentral.